This 432-nucleotide ribosomal RNA is filed under the name Triticum aestivum (bread wheat). Its description in RNAcentral is "partial small subunit ribosomal RNA". Lineage: Eukaryota; Viridiplantae; Streptophyta; Magnoliopsida; Poales; Poaceae. The record is from RNAcentral.
AUGGAGAGUUCUCGCUAUCUCCUCCUCCUGCUCAUUGGACUGCUCGUCGCACCCUACGCGGUGGGAGAGCCAUGUGACUCCUGGCACUGGGCGUACCUAACGAGCGUGUUCUGUAUAUCCAAGGAGCAUGACAGCAUACUUGCUUGCUGCGAAGUGCUGAAGUCCAUCGUGAACAUAUCGCUGACAGAGGACCCUUUGUGCAUGUGUAGCCUGACUGCAGAGCCACCUUUUAUCAGCACUGGACUAUUUAUUGAUGAACUCGUCGACAAGUACAUAGCUUGUGGAGGUGACCGUGGUAAAGACGCCCAGGCCCUCUCCGAUGCACAGGAGUAUUUAACCAAAAACUACCACAUUUCACGGACAUGUGACAGAAAACUACCACUUUACGUUUUUGUGCGGAAAACUACCACUAUUUGUCUAAUCUUUGACUAA